RNAcentral lists this ribosomal RNA (351 nucleotides) under Ixodes inopinatus. RNAcentral describes it as "partial large subunit ribosomal RNA". The record is from RNAcentral. Lineage: Eukaryota; Metazoa; Arthropoda; Arachnida; Ixodida; Ixodidae.
UUUGACUAUACGAAGGUAUUGAAAUAAGAUUUUAAAUGAGUGCUAAGAGAAUGAUUAAACAAUUAAAAGCUUUCUUUAAUUGAAUAAUUGAAUUUAAUUUUUUAGUGCAAAAGCAAAAAUAAAAAUUAGGGACAAGAAGACCCUAUGAAUUUUUUAUUAAAUUUUAUAAAAAGUUUUAUAAAAUUUAAUUUAAUUGGGGUGAUGGAAAAAGAAUAAAUAUCUUUUUUUUUAAAGAAAAUUGGUUCCGUUUUUAGCGAUUAAAUGAAAAAAAUACUCUAGGGAUAACAGCGUAAUAAUUUUGGAUAGUUCAUAUAGAUAAAAUAGUUUGCGACCUCGAUGUUGGAUUAGGAU